GCGGUGAAAGUCUGUGGCUCAACCAUAGAAUUGCCAUUGAUACUGUUGUUCUUGAGUGUUUAUGAAGUGGUUAGAAUAUGUAGUGUAGCGGUGAAAUGCUUAGAUAUUACAUGGAAUACCGAUUGCGAAGGCAGAUCACUAAUAAAAUACUGACGCUGAUGGACGAAAGCGUAGGUAGCGAACAGGAUUAGAUACCCUGGUAGUCUACGCCGUAAACGAUGGUUACUAGCUGUUCGGAAGUAAUUCUGAGUGGCUAAGCGAAAGUGAUAAGUAACCCACCUGGGGAGUACGUUCGCAAGAAUGAAACUCAAAGGAAUUGACGGGGGCCCGCACAAGCGGUGGAGCAUGUGGUUUAAUUCGAUGAUACGCGAGGAACCUUACCAGGGCUUAAAUGUAGCUUGACCGAUUUGGAAACAGAUCUUUCGCAAGACAAGUUACAAGGUGCUGCAUGGUUGUCGUCAGCUCGUGCCGUGAGGUGUCAGGUUAAGUCCUAUAACGAGCGCAACCCCUGUUGUUAGUUGCCAGCGAGUAAUGUCGGGAACUCUAACAAGACUGCCGGUGCAAACCGUGAGGAAGGUGGGGAUGACGUCAAAUCAUCACGGCCCUUACGUCCUGGGCCACACACGUGCUACAAUGGUAGGGACAGAGAGCAGCCACUGGGUGACCAGGAGCGAAUCUACAAACCCUAUCUCAGUUCGGAUCGGAGUCU
RNAcentral lists this ribosomal RNA (709 nucleotides) under uncultured bacterium. RNAcentral's name for it is "bacterial SSU rRNA". It matches the Rfam family "Bacterial small subunit ribosomal RNA", at positions 591 to 1306 of the family's 1533-position model. The record is from RNAcentral.